GGCAACUUGGCCGAGCGGUCUAAGGCGCCAGACUCAAGCGUCAGCUUGAUCCUCUCAGAGGAUAGCAUUCUGGUAUCGAAAGAUGCGUGAGUUCGAAUCUCACAGUUGUCA
Colletotrichum gloeosporioides Cg-14 is the source of this 111-nucleotide transfer RNA. It matches the Rfam family "tRNA". From Rfam's summary of the family: Transfer RNA (tRNA) molecules are approximately 80 nucleotides in length. Their secondary structure includes four short double-helical elements and three loops (D, anti-codon, and T loops). NCBI's taxonomy places the organism in Eukaryota, Fungi, Ascomycota, Sordariomycetes, Glomerellales, Glomerellaceae. The record is from Rfam.